Neofelis nebulosa (Clouded leopard) is the source of this 4117-nucleotide long non-coding RNA. RefSeq lists it as uncharacterized. NCBI's taxonomy places the organism in Eukaryota, Metazoa, Chordata, Mammalia, Carnivora, Felidae. The record is from RefSeq and is a predicted model, not a curated record. The transcript has 2 exons.
GUUUCUGCUGUUGGGAAAGAGAUGAGAGACUGUUAUAGGACUUCUCCCAAACAUGCAUACACCCAGUUCUCUACCUACGAAUUCCAGGCUGGCCAUUCAGUGGUAAUCUCCAACUAAAACCUUUCCCAGAUCACUUACGUGCACACAGGGUGUUCAUCACUGACAUGCACAAACAUUUUUACCCUUGGUAGCAUCUUUAUUGGAGGUCUGAGUGUUUUUGAAGAUAUCAUUACGUGUCAUGCCAAUAAACCAUGGUUAUGCAAUUAUCCAUUUCUCAGAACAAUUAUAGCUUAAAUCCAGGCUAAUUUCUUCCCCAGAUUUAAAUUGUCAAUCACAUUCUGUGAGAAGGUACUUAUACUAAUUGUUAUGUGAUUCUACAACUGAUGACUUAGGCUCCACCCAGGUCUUUGAACAUGAAUAGGCAAGGUUCCUCCUCAUGACACUUACUAUUGUCCAGCAGUUAGGUGGGUCCUUCAUGUAGAUAUCUUGCAUAGAUAUUAUUUCUUGCUUGUUAUGGCUUUUAUUCAUGCCUAAAAUAAUCGAGGAAAAAAAGAAAUAAACCUGAGAAACACCUUGAGUAGACUAGGGGAAUUAAAGUGUUGACAAGCUCACAAGACCAGGUAAGCACACAUGAUCAAAUAAUGUGAAAUUGAGGAAAAUACUGGUGAAUAGACAUACAUUUUAGAACAGUAUCAGUUAGAACAAAACUCAAUGUUUAAGUGAAAGAAAAAUAAAAUAAUGAUGGGCUGUUGCAGAGAAUAUCAGAGUGGAAAUCCUAAAAGAAAGACACUAGAAAUCAUGACACAGACCACAAUGUGAAAUUUCACCUCCAACGAGGUCAGGAACAUUGCUUGCCUGAGGCGAAAUGUAAGUACAGGUACAUGAAGAGAAACUGAUGUGGGAGAAAUAAUGACACAAUCUGAGGAAUGCUGUCUCACUGGCCACUCACAGUUUCUGAAGCUGUCGUUCACUCAAGGAAAUCUGCACUGACAUCAAUAAGACCCUGCUUACUCACUAGCCUUCUCACACUGAGUGCAUGUCUGCAGCUCACCUGGACUCCAGCCUUGGGGAGGUCCUCUUUCUUCCCUCCACAGCUCCCCUCUUUGCUCCCACGGGGAGAUCACAUCUGAUCUGAAGAAAUGACACCCUAUAUCAAUGGAGAAUGGUGUGUGAAUUUGCAGUUCCGUGUCGAGAACAGCACCUGAUAUUCUACUGUACAGGCAGCUGAGGAAGAACAUGAGUGUGGAAGAACAGCCCAGAGAAUAACACCUUGAACACUAAAAACAUUGAUAAAUGUUCUCAGGCUGACACUGCACCCAAAGACAGUAUGAUCUCUGGUUGCUGAUGCUCCUGCCCAAGCUGAGAGAGAGCAGAAGGCUUAGUGUUUGCAUCCAGAAGGAAUUAAAUGUUCUCACAAGGGGAUUACUAUUUUCAAAGGAAUACAAUACACAUAAGCUCCACCAGAAUAUUCUGUGGAGUUUUAUGUGGAAAGUGAUACAAGAUGUUAUAUUUUCUACCGUGCUCACCAUUCCCACACUGCUUAGGAGAGAAAAAUAUUUAGGAUGUUUAUUCAUUCAAAAAAUAUGCACUGUAUUCCCAGCAUUGUUCUGGGUCUUGGAGAAAGUGCAGUAGAUACACACUUGUGGCCAAGAAGUCUGUAUUCAAAUUAUCAUGUAACACACAUGAUGAAAGUAAAGAAAGUUACAAAUUCCAUCUAGUAUUCAGAAAUGCUACAAAGGUAUAUGAAUGAGGGCAGACAGCUAUAUUAGAAUAUGUGGAAGCUCUCCUGGAUACAAGGUUAAUAAACAAAAAGAUGGAUGGAUGGAAGAAUGAAUAGAUGGCGACAGACUCACCCACAGAGACCAGAUGACUAAUGUUCUCCAGCAUCACAUCUCUGUACAGCGUUCUCUGGGAUGUGUCCAUCAGGGCCCACUCUUCCUGGGUAAAGUCUACAGCUAUAUCUUUGAGGGUCACAGAUUCCUAAAAUAUCAGAUAUUGUUUCAGUAGGGCCAGGCUGAACAAUCCCUAGGGGACAGCUGUCAACAUGAUAGUGAUAGCAGAGUGAGGAACUGUAUGUAUAGAAACCUCAUUCCAUUUGUGAUUCAUAUCAAAUAUUCUCCCAUGCUGAUCUGCUUUUUGCCUUUCAGACACAUUAAAAAAACACACAAUUACUUCAUCAUAAAGGAAUCUCAAUAGGAAAUAACCUGGCAACAUUCUAAUAAGCUGGCAAUUUUGACUUUCUGGGUGGUAAUUAUAACCUAGGUUAAAUAGUACUAUUGAGAAGUGCCUGGCUGGCUCAGUUGGAAGAGCAUGUGACUCUUGGCCUCAGGGUCAUGAGUUUAAGCCCCAUGCUUGCUGUAGAAAUUACUAAAAAAAGAAAAAAUAUAUAUAUAUAUACACAUAUAUAUGAAUAGUGGUACUGAGAGUUCCAAUGAGCUAAUGUGCAGAUGCGUCUUUUACAGCAAACACUUCAUACAUACAAGUGUAGGUAUAUUAACAUUAAAGGUAGACACCUAUGAAGCAAUGCCCAGCAUUCUGCAGGAUGAACAACUCUCAUGCAGAACUUGAGGUCAGCAAGUCGCACCUCUCAUCUUAAAAACUCACUUGUUCUUUAUAAGGUAUCAGGGCAGACAGGUCCUGUGGUCCGGUUAGGGGCUCCUGAGAUGGCUCGUCCGAAGGAUGGCCCCACAGUGAUCUCUCCUGCAGUGAGCUCUCCAUUCUUAACAACAAUGAUGACUGCAUCAAUCCUCCGUAUGGUAAUCCUGUUUUUUCUGUUGAAAGGCAAUAGAAUCCUCUCGAUUACUUGUAGCCUCUCUAAUCCUUCUAAAAUUGCAACAGGAUUCUAAAUUUGACUCUAGUUUUAUCCACAUUCUGCCAAAUACAGAGUUAAUUUUUUGAAAAAUACUCCCUAGGCACUGUUUUCAGAUUUCCAAUUUUAAAAAGUUUAAUUAUAAUGGGGAAAAUGGGUGAAAAGGGAUAAGGGUAGUAAAGAGGAUUUAGUCAUCUUUGGAAGUUUCCAGAUUAGUCAAGUGUAUGUUACCAAACCUUUAGUAAGCUUAAAACUGAGGGGAAAAGAAAUGAUGGCUGAUUUCCUCUCUCAUACAAAUGUUUCUUGUACUCUCUGGAAAACUGCAGAGCUGACCUGCUCAAAGGCCCGCCUCCUCAGUGGAGUGUAAACUGCUGGUCCUACUCAUCUCUAGCACCUGUCACCACGUGCCGAGGUCACUGCAGCCACUACCAUGGCCCACGGGUAAAUCACCCCCCAACCAAGCCCAUACACUGCAUGAGGAAGGAAAACUCUGCAUAUUUCUUUUCUGCAAGGACAUCCUUAAGGAGCAUGAGAUGCACUGGUGUAAAUGCUGGAAAGGAGACUUCUUCCUGAUCCAUCCCUGACCAACAAACAGUAUCUGCGCGUCCUGGCAACAAUGAACUAGAACCCAGACCCUUGAAAACUGCCUGGAUGCACUUCGAAGACUUGGGCCAAGAGAAGCCUUCCCAGCCACAGGCAACAGAGGCAUCAUUCCAGAGAAGGAUCGCGUAUCCACCCACCUGCAGUUGCAUUAUCAAGGGUUCGGCCACCACGUCUCUUCCUCCGGAUUUCCACUCACAGAGAAUGCAAACCGUAUGCAGGAAAAGCUGGGCAAGGAGAGAGAAGCCAAGAGACUCCAGUCUUACCCACAAUUCCCAGACCAUGAAUCAGGUCAUGAAUCCCUGAUGCGCCUGCAUGCAACCCCCCAGCUCCCCCUACAAGAACAUGCCACAUGCCCUGAGACAAUUGCGGGAGCUCUCACUUCUGCUUGGGUCAGAAGUGACAAGGCUUUGGCUACUGCUGCUCGUCAAUAAGAUAGGAAUAUUCUUUUUUAUUUUCAGACAAGGCAAUGAAAAUCAUUAUUUCUAAGUUAACUGCCAACUUUUCAUAGGGAUAUUUAAUUCCCUCCCUGAACCCCAAACCUAAAAGUGCCUGACUUAGAAAACGUACAAUGCAGAGGUUUUGUUUUAUGAGGGAAUAUAUUUGUUCAAUCUGACAUUUUAGUACAGUUGUCACUGGAAUAUUGUCGUAUAUCAGUCAUCACCACAAAUGAGACCCCAGCAUUUCAUCAAUCGUAUAUUUAAACAU